UCCGAAUGGAGCAAUCUGUAAAGAGUCAUGUCUUUACACGAAAGAGGGAACCGGGUGAACUGAAACAUCUAAGUAAUCCGAGGAAAAGAAAGUAACAACGAUACCCUAAGUAGCGGCGAGCGAACGGGGUAGAGCCUAAACCAUAUUCAUGUCAAGGAUGCAGCCGUUGUGGAUAUGGGGUAGCGGGAAAGAGAGAGAAAGAACUGCAAGCUAUUUCGCAGACGCAAGCAAAGGAACAAGAAAGAUCUGGAAAGGUCUACCGUAGAAGGUGAAAGUCCUGUAUUGGUAGUUUUCUUGCGCUGUAUCUCUUCUCCCAAGUAAUGUGGAACACGAGGAAUUCUGCAUGAAUCUGCGAGGACCAAAUCUCGUAAGGCUAAAUACUCUUUCUAACCGAUAGCGCAUAGUACCGUGAGGGAAAGGUGAAAAGAACCCCGGGAGGGGAGUGAAAGAGAACCUGAAAUUGUGUGCUUACAAGCGGUCAGAGCCACUUUGGUGGUGAUGGCGUGCCUUUUGGAGAAUGAUCCUGCGAGUUACGUUUCAUGGCGAGGUUAAGAAGAACGGAGCCGAAGGGAAACCGAGUCUGAAUAGGGCGCAAGAGUCGUGGAGCGUAGACGCGAAACCCGGUGAUCUAAGCCUGUCCAGGAUGAAGCUGUGGUAAGACACAGUGGAGGUCCUAACCCACCGCCGUUGAAAAGUUGGGGGAUGAGGUAGGUUUAGGGGUGAAAAGCCAAUCGAACCGGGAGAUAGCUCGUUCUCUCCGAAAUGCAUCUAGGUGCAGCCUUGCGUGUUUAAUGAUGGGGGUAGAGCACUGACUGAACUAGGGGGCAUAUAGCUUACUGAAUUCAAUCAAACUCCGAAUACCAUUAUUCAAGAGCGCAGGAGUGAGACCAUGGGAGUUAACUUCCAUCGUCGAAAGGGAAACAACCCAGACCACCAGCUAAGGUCCCAAAUCAUAUCUAAGUGGGAAAGGAGGUGGAGAUUCUUAAACAACUAGGAGGUUGGCUUAGAAGCAGCCAUUCCUUGAAAGAGUGCGUAAUAGCUCACUAGUCGAGAGUCUCUGCGCCGACAAUGUAACGGGGCUAAGAUAUGAACCGAAGCUGUGGAUGUCGUAAGACAUGGUAGGAGAGCGUUCUGUAGGCCGUGGAAGGAGGACUGAAAGGAACUCUGGAGGUAUCAGAAGUGAGAAUGCAGGAAUAAGUAGCGAGAAGGGGAGUGAGAAUCUCCCCCGCUGGAAGACCAAGGUUUUCAGGGUAAAGCUUGUCUUCCCUGAGUAAGCCGGGACCUAAGCCCAGGCUAGAAUGCGUAGGCGAAUGGAAAACAGAUGAAUAUUUCUGUGCCAGUUCUACUUUGUGAAGGAGGGACGCAGAAGGGUAUGCGCGCAGACGAACGGAAGAGUCUGUAGAAGCAUGUAGAGUGACUUGGUAGGCAAAUCCGCCAGGUUAGACUUAAGGUGUGACAUAUACUCGCAAGAGGAAUGCGCAAAUCCCACGCUGCCGAGAAAAGCUUCUAGCGGUAAAGUAGAGACUGCCCGUACUGGAAACCGACACAGGUGGUCAGGAUGAGAAAUCUAAAGCGGACAGGCUAACUCUCGUUAAGGAACUCUGCAAAAUGGCCCCGUAACUUCGGGAGAAGGGGUGCCU
This 1640-nucleotide ribosomal RNA is filed under the name Fusobacterium necrophorum DAB. RNAcentral's name for it is "bacterial LSU rRNA". It matches the Rfam family "Bacterial large subunit ribosomal RNA", at positions 113 to 1753 of the family's 2925-position model. The record is from RNAcentral. Lineage: Bacteria; Fusobacteriati; Fusobacteriota; Fusobacteriia; Fusobacteriales; Fusobacteriaceae.